Molecule: ribosomal RNA, 301 nt
Filed under: uncultured bacterium
Lineage: Bacteria
Description: partial 16S ribosomal RNA
Rfam family: Bacterial small subunit ribosomal RNA
Source: RNAcentral
CAGUCGCCACGGUAAAACGUAGGUGGCAAGCGUUGUCCGGAAUUAUUGAGCGUAAAGGGCUCGCAGGCGGUUUCUUAAGUCUGAUGUGAAAGCCCCCGGCUCAACCGGGGAGGGUCAUUGGAAACUGGGAAACUUGAGUGCAGAAGAGGAGAGUGGAAUUCCACGUGUAGCGGUGAAAUGCGUAGAGAUGUGGAGGAACACCAGUGGCGAAGGCGACUCUCUGGUCUGUAACUGACGCUGAGGAGCGAAAGCGUGGGGAGCGAACAGGAUUAGAUACCCGUGUAGUCCCUGUCUCUUAUAC